GAUGAAGAACGUAGCGAAAUGCGAUAAGUAGUGUGAAUUGCAGAAUUCAGUGAAUCAUCGAAUCUUUGAACGCACAUUGCGCCCCUUGGUACUCCAUGGGGCAUGCCUGUUCGAGCGUCAUUUACACCCUCAAGCUCAGCUUGGUGUUGGGCGUCUGUCCCGCUUCGUGCGCGGACUCGCCACAAAUGCAUUGGCAGCGGUCUUGCCAGCUUCUCGCGCAGCACAUUGCGCUUCUAGAGGCUUUGGCGGAUCGGCGUCCAUCAAGUACACCCACAGUUUGACCUCGGAUCAGGUAGGGAUACCCGCUGAACUUAAGCAUAUCAAUAAGCGGAGGA
Molecule: unclassified non-coding RNA, 335 nt
Filed under: soil metagenome
Description: partial contains 5.8S ribosomal RNA, internal transcribed spacer 2, and large subunit ribosomal RNA
Rfam family: 5.8S ribosomal RNA (bases 1-120)
Source: RNAcentral